Long non-coding RNA from Pipistrellus kuhlii (Kuhl's pipistrelle), 735 nucleotides. RefSeq lists it as uncharacterized. The transcript is spliced from 3 exons. Lineage: Eukaryota; Metazoa; Chordata; Mammalia; Chiroptera; Vespertilionidae. The record is from RefSeq and is a predicted model, not a curated record.
CACCAGGAACUGAGUAUAAACACGUUGAAGACAAAGAAAAGAAAAAAAGAAUGGAAGCAGCCAGAAGAGAUUUUUCAGAGGUCACCUCAGCUGGCUGAGGGAGCCAACCUGAUGUUAGCAGGAGAGUGAGAAGGAUGAAAUAAAAAAAACCUUUGAAGCUUUCAGGAAAGGCAAUCCAGUCCCUGCCAUAUCUGCUCCGAUAUUAGCAUCUGAGUUGCUGGAGUUACUUGUCUGGUAUCUUUUAUGAGCACUGCUUAUACACAAAAUAGUCUUCUGUGCCCCCUUUUAAUGAAUGUGUUUUGGAAAGUAAAUUUCUUUUCUAAUUGUUUAAAAUGUACUAACAACUUUAUAGAAAAGGAUACAUAUAAAACAACUUGGUAGAGCCUUUGGAUCUUCAGUUGUCAUUAGUGUACGACAUACCAGUAUCUGCUCCUUGUGGUAAUGGCUGUGAAUCAUUGGUGUGUAAAUUGUUUGAUGACCACUCAUCCCUUUGCAAUGUGCCCUAGAUGUUCCCCACAUCAAAAUAUGGAGUCUGUUGCCUCUCUUCUUGAGGCCCUAUGACUGGCUUUGACCAAGAGAUUACAGUAUCUGCUCUUGCCCUCUUGCAAUGUGCCACAAAGAUGUGAAGAAACUUGCCCUAGCCUGCUUCCUGUGAGAGACCAUGCUCAGAGAGAAAGGCCCACCCUUCAGCCAGCACCAAACCCCAGACAUCUACAGACGAGUCUGCAUGAGUGA